Molecule: ribosomal RNA, 497 nt
Filed under: uncultured bacterium
Lineage: Bacteria
Description: partial 16S ribosomal RNA
Rfam family: Bacterial small subunit ribosomal RNA
Source: RNAcentral
GAUGAACGCUGGCGGCGUGCCUAAUACAUGCAAGUCGAGCGAACAGAUGAGGAGCUUGCUCCUCUGACGUUAGCGGCGGACGGGUGAGUAACACGUGGAUAACCUACCUAUAAGACUGGGAUAACUUCGGGAAACCGGAGCUAAUACCAGAUAAUAUAUUGAACCGCAUGGUUCAAUAGUGAAAGACGGUUUUGCUGUCACUUAUAGAUGGAUCCGCGCCGCAUUAGCUAGUUGGUAAGGUAACGGCUUACCAAGGCGACGAUGCGUAGCCGACCUGAGAGGGUGAUCGGCCACACUGGAACUGAGACACGGUCCAGACUCCUACGGGAGGCAGCAGUAGUGAAUCUUCCGCAAUGGGCGAAAGCCUGACGGAGCAACGCCGCGUGAGUGAUGAAGGUCUUCGGAUCGUAAAACUCUGUUAUUAGGGAAGAACAAAUGUGUAAGUAACUAUGCACGUCUUGACGGUACCUAAUCAGAAAGCCACGGCUAACUACGUG